UGAAGAGUUUGAUCAUGGCUCAGAUUGAACGCUGGCGGCAGGCCUAACACAUGCAAGUCGAACGGUAACAGGAAGCAGCUUGCUGCUUUGCUGACGAGUGGCGGACGGGUGAGUAAUGUCUGGGAAACUGCCUGAUGGAGGGGGAUAACUACUGGAAACGGUGGCUAAUACCGCAUAACGUCGCAAGACCAAAGAGGGGGACCUUCGGGCCUCUUGCCAUCAGAUGUGCCCAGAUGGGAUUAGCUUGUUGGUGAGGUAACGGCUCACCAAGGCGACGAUCCCUAGCUGGUCUGAGAGGAUGACCAGCCACACUGGAACUGAGACACGGUCCAGACUCCUACGGGAGGCAGCAGUGGGGAAUAUUGCACAAUGGGCGCAAGCCUGAUGCAGCCAUGCCGCGUGUAUGAAGAAGGCCUUCGGGUUGUAAAGUACUUUCAGCGGGGAGGAAGGUGUUGUGGUUAAUAACC
Molecule: ribosomal RNA, 467 nt
Filed under: Salmonella enterica
Lineage: Bacteria; Pseudomonadati; Pseudomonadota; Gammaproteobacteria; Enterobacterales; Enterobacteriaceae
Also listed under: 4 other names
Description: bacterial SSU rRNA
Rfam family: Bacterial small subunit ribosomal RNA
Source: RNAcentral